Lemur catta (Ring-tailed lemur) is the source of this 109-nucleotide small nuclear RNA. The record is from RefSeq and is a predicted model, not a curated record. Lineage: Eukaryota; Metazoa; Chordata; Mammalia; Primates; Lemuridae.
UUCGGCAGCACAUAUACUAAAAUACAGAUUUUCUGGAAUGAUACAGAGGAGAUUAGCAUGGCCCCUGUACAAGGAUGACACACCAAUUCAUGAAACAUUCCAUAUUUAA